RNAcentral lists this ribosomal RNA (491 nucleotides) under uncultured bacterium. Its description in RNAcentral is "partial 16S ribosomal RNA". It matches the Rfam family "Bacterial small subunit ribosomal RNA", at positions 29 to 506 of the family's 1533-position model. The record is from RNAcentral.
AGUGAACGCUGGCGGUAGGCCUAACACAUGCAGGUCGAACGGCAGCACAGUAAGAGCUUGCUCUUACGGGUGGCGAGUGGCGGACGGGUGAGGAAUACAUCGGAAUCUACUUUUUCGUGGGGGAUAACGUAGGGAAACUUACGCUAAUACCGCAUACGACCUACGGGUGAAAGCAGGGGAUCUUCGGACCUUGCGCGAUUGAAUGAGCCGAUGUCGGAUUAGCUAGUUGGCGGGGUAAAGGCCCACCAAGGCGACGAUCCGUAGCUGGUCUGAGAGGAUGAUCAGCCACACUGGAACUGAGACACGGUCCAGACUCCUACGGGAGGCAGCAGUGGGGAAUAUUGGACAAUGGGCGCAAGCCUGAUCCAGCCAUACCGCGUGGGUGAAGAAGGCCUUCGGGUGGUAAAGCCCUUUUGUUGGGAAAGAAAAGCAGCAGGUUAAGACCCCGCUGUUCUGACGGUACCCAAAGAAUAAGCACCGGCUAACUUCGU